Molecule: ribosomal RNA, 438 nt
Filed under: uncultured bacterium
Lineage: Bacteria
Description: partial 16S ribosomal RNA
Rfam family: Bacterial small subunit ribosomal RNA
Source: RNAcentral
AACGAACGCUGGCGGCAUGCCUAACACAUGCAAGUCGAACGAGACCUUCGGGUCUAGUGGCGCACGGGUGCGUAACGCGUGGGAACCUGCCCUUAGGUUCGGAAUAACUCCCCGAAAGGGGUGCUAAUACCGGAUAAUGUCUUCGGACCAAAGAUUUGGCGCCUGUGGAUGGGCUCGCGGUUGAUUAGCUUGUUGGUAGGGUAAAAGCCUACCAAGGCGAGGAUCGAUAGCUGGUGUGAGAGGAUGAUCGGCCAAGCUGGGACGGGGAUAAGGCACAGACGACAACGGGAGGCAGGAGUGGGGAAUGGUGUAUAAUGGGAGGGAGCAGGAUGUAGCAACGCAGCGUGGGGGAUGACAGGCAUCGGGUUGUAUACCACAUCCGCUUGAGACGGAGCGUGAGUGACGGUAAUGGGUAAAGAAGCACCGGCUAACUACGUG